This 329-nucleotide ribosomal RNA is filed under the name uncultured bacterium. RNAcentral describes it as "bacterial SSU rRNA". It matches the Rfam family "Bacterial small subunit ribosomal RNA", at positions 568 to 898 of the family's 1533-position model. The record is from RNAcentral.
UCCGUAGGCGGUGCGGCAAGUCGGGGUGAAAUCUCUGGGCUUAACUCAGAGGCUGCCUCCGAAACUGCCGUGCUCGAGUGUGGGAGAGGCGAGCGGAAUUGCAGGUGUAGCGGUGAAAUGCGUAGAUAUCUGCAGGAACACCCGUGGCGAAGGCGGCUCGCUGGACCAUUACUGACGCUGAGGGACGAAAGCUAGGGGAGCAAACAGGAUUAGAUACCCUGGUAGUCCUAGCCCUAAACGAUCAGGACUUGGGGUGUCUCCCGUUCGGGAGACGUCCCGGAGCUAACGCGUUAAGUCCUGCGCCUGGGGAGUACGGUCGCAAGACUGAA